Oncorhynchus tshawytscha (Chinook salmon) is the source of this 8383-nucleotide long non-coding RNA. Lineage: Eukaryota; Metazoa; Chordata; Actinopteri; Salmoniformes; Salmonidae. The record is from Ensembl.
CCCAGAGUCUCCUCUUCAACGUUGACAUUGAGACUUGUGUUUUGCGGGUCCCUUUUUCAGGACCCUGUCUUUCAAAGAUAAUUUGUAAAAAACUUUACAGAUCUUCAUUGUAAAGGGUUUAAACACGGUUUCCCAUGCUUGUUCAAUGAAUCAUAAACAAUUGAUGAACAUGCACCUGUGGAACGGUCGUUAAGACACUAACAGCUUUCAGAUGGUAGGCAAUUAAGGUCAGUUAUAAAAACUUAGGACGCUAAAGAGGCCUUUCUACUGACUCUGAAAAACACCAAAAGAAAGAUGCCCAGGAUCCCUGCUCAUCUGCUUGAAUAUGCCUUAGGCAUGCUGCAAGGAGGCAUGAGGACUGCAGAUGUGGCCAGGGCAAUAAAUUGCAAUGUCCGUUCUGUGAGACGCCUAAGACAUCGCUACAGGGAGACAGGACGGCAGCUGAUCAUCCUCGCAGUGGCAGACCACGUGUAACAACACCUGCACAGGAUCGGUACAUCCGAACAUCACACCUGCGGGACACUGAGUUAUACCAGGAACACACAAUCCCUCCAUCAGUGCUCAGACUGUCCGCAAUAGGCUGAGAGAGGCUGGACUGAGGGCUUGUAGGCCUGUUGUAAGGCAUCACCGGCUACAACGUCGCCUAUGGGCACAAACCCACCAUCGCUGGACCAGACAGGAAAGUGCUCUUCACUGACGAGUCAUGGUUUUGUCUCACCAGGCGUGAUGGUCGGAUUCGCGUUUAUUGUCAAAGGACUGAUCGUUACACCAAGGUCUGUACUCUGGAGCGAGAUCGAUUUGGAGGUGGAGGGUCUGUCAUGGUCUGGGGGGGUGUAUCACAGCAUCAUCGUACUGAGCUUGUUGUCAUUGCAGGCAAUCUCAACGCUGUGCGUUACAGGGAAGACAUCCUCCUCCCUCAUGUGGUUCCCUUUUAUUUAUUUUACAUUUUAUUUCACCUUUAUUUAACCAGGUAGGCCAGUUGAGAACAAGUUUUCAUUUAUAACUGCGACCUGGCCAAGAUAAAGCAAAGCAGUGCGACAAAAACAACAACACAGAGUUACACAUAAACAAACGUACAGUCAAUAACACAACCCUUCCUGCAGGCUCAUCCUGACGUGACCCUCCAGCAUGACAAUGCCACCAGCCAUACUGCUUGUUCUGUGCGUGACUUCCUGCAAGGCAGGAAUGUCAGUGUUCUGCCAUGGCCAGCAAAGAGUCCGGAUCUCAUUCCCAUUGAGCGCGUCAGGGACCUGUUGGAUCGGAGGGUGAGGGCUAGGGCCAUUCCCCAGAGAAAUGUCUGGGAACUUGCAGGUGCCUUGGUGGAAGAGUGGGGUAACAUCACAUAGCAAGAACUGGCAAAUCUGGUGCAGUCCAUGAGGAGGAGAUGCACUGUAGUACUUAAUGCAGCUGGUGGCCACACCAGAUACUGACUGUUACUUUUGUUUUUGACCCCCCCUUUGUUCAGGGACACAUUAUUCCAUUUCUGUUGGUCACAUGUCUGUGGAACGUGUUCAGUUUAUGUCUCAGUUGUUGAAUCUUAUGUUCAUAGAAAUAUUUACACAUGUUAAGUUUGCUGAAAAUAAACGCAGUUGACAGUGAGAGGAGCUUUCCUUUUUUCUGAGUUUAUUUAAUGAAGCUGCCAGUUGAGGACUUGUGAAGCGUCUGUUUCUCAGACUAGACACUCUAAUGUACUUGUCCUCUUGCUCAGUUGUGCACCGGGGCCCCCCACUCUCCUUUUUAUUCUGGUUAGAGCCAGUUUGCACUGUUCUGUGAAGGGAGUAGUACACUGCGUUGUAUGAGACCUCCAGUUUCUUGGCAAUUUCUCGCAUGGAAUAGCCUUAAUUUCUCAGAACAAGAAUAGACUGAUGAGUUUCAGAAGAAAGGUCUUUGUUUCUGGCCAUUUUGAGCCUGUAAUCGAACCCACAAAUGCUGAUGCUCCAGAUACUCAACUAGUCUAAAGAAGGAUAGUUGUAUUGCUUCUUUAAUCAGAACAACAGUUUUCAGCUGUGCUAACAUAAUUGUGAAAGGGUUUUCUAAUGAUCAAUUAGCCUUUUAAAACGAUAAACUUGGAUUAGCUAACACAAUGUGCCAUUGGAACACAUCAGUGAUGGUUGCUGAUAAUGGGCCUCUGUAUGCCCAUGUAGAUAUUCCAUAAAGAAUCAGCCGUUUCCAGCUACAAUAGUCAUUUACAACAUUAACAAUGUCUACACUGUAUUUCUGUUCAAUUUGAUGUUAUUUUAAUGGACAAACAAAUGUGCUUUUCUUUAAAAAAAACAAGGACAUUUCUCAGUGACCAAAGCUUUUGAACAAUAGUGUACCUGCACCAUAUGACUUGUAAGUAAGCCCUCCAUUCAGAUACACGCAUCACUACAAUGUGGAACUGCAUUGGCACUAAGGUGAAGAACCAAAUAUUGGAGAAUGUCAAACAAGCAGUACAGAAUAGUUGGCAUAUAAACAAAAACAAUAUAUUGUUUACAAUAAAAGUACUGUUUACUGAACACAUCCAAAUAUUGAAUAAUCUGCAAAACAUUAUUAGAAUUGUUUAUUUUAUUUGCAACCAUAAUUAUUAUCAAAAGAAUAUAGUCUAAAUUCACUCAUUGAAAACUUUAUUUUGUACUACUUAUAAAAAAUACCCAGUUUUACAAAAGUAAAUCUAUGCUUACUAGUUGGAGAGAGUCCAUCUCAUAACAGUCAUCAGCUUUAUUCAGUCUUUUCAGUUGUUUUGUGAUUCUAUAGUUCCAUAGAAUGUUCUAGAUUGUUCAAACAGUGAUUCUGAAUUCCAUUUCAGCUGAUCAGGAGCUGAAUUUUUAAUCCAUUCAAAAAAAGCAUGUGGUCCCUUCUCCAAGAGACAGCAUUAGAAUAUCAUUGACAUAGUGCCUUUAUGUACAAAAACAAUGUACAAAUCUAUAUAAAACAAUCUAACGUUAGCCUCUACAUCUCACUAUAUCUGUUGUAAAUAAAUAUUUGGUUGUCUGACUUCAUAAUGUAGGAAAUAGUUGAAUCCACGGUAAAGGCAUGUUAGGUGUUCUUUGACUCUAUCUAGCUACCAGAGAGACAUGCACCUAUGCUGGUGUUUGGAAAGGCCUCACUAGUUGAGUAACCCAAAUGGUACCCUAUUCCCUAUGUAGUGCACUACUUUGGCCAGGGCCCUAUUCCCUAUAUAGUGCACUACUUUAGACCAGAACCCUAUUCCCUAUGUAGUGCACUACUUUAGGCCAGGGCCCUAUUCCCUAUAUAGUACACUACUAUAGACCAGGGCUCGAGCUCUGCUCAAAAGUAAUGCAGUAUAUAUGAAAUAGGGGGCCAUUUUUAGUGGCUCUCAGUGACUUGUGAUGUAAAUACCAGCACAUGCCUAUAAUAGACAAUACCAACGUCUAGUCAGAUGGAUAGCUACCAAGCCUUCAUUGGUUGUCUGUGAUGAGACAGAGGUACAGUGGGAGGAGCCUCUUACAUAUCCUGCCUUGUGAUGUAAAAACACUAUGCUUGGUCACCAUAGACUAUGGUUGUGUCACAAAUGUCAUCAUAUUCCCUUUAUAGUGCACUACAUUUGGCUAGGGCCCAUAGGGCUGUGGUCCAAAGUAGUGCACUACAUUUGGCUAGGGCCCAUAGGAUUGUGGUCCAAAGUAGUGCACUACAUUUGGCUAGGGUCCAUAGGACUGUGGUCCAAAGUAGUGCACUACAUUAGGGAUAGGGCACCAUCUGGGACACAGCUUGUAUAUAAUGUCUGUCAGGCUAGGAGGUGAAGGUGAUCCCAUGAUGUAGUAAUCCUCCUCUCAGAGCCAUCCUCCCCUCCUCUCAGAUCGAGACAGGUCCUCCUCUCAGAGCCAUCCUCCCCUCCUCUCAGAUCGAGACAGGUCCUCCUCUCAGAUCGAGACAGGUCCUCCUCUCAGAUCGUGGCAGGUCCUCCUCUCAGAUCGAGACAGGUCCUCCUCUCAGAUCGUGACAGGUCCUCCUCUCAGAUCGUGACAGGUCCUCCUCUCAGAUCGUGAGACAGGUCCUCCUCUCAGAUCGUGACAGGUCCUCCUCUCAGAUCGUGACAGGUCCUCCUCUCAGAUCGUGACAGGUCCUCCUCUCAGAUCGUGACAGGUCCUCCUCUCAGAUCGUGGGUGCUGUUACACUUGGCGGAUGCAGAAGUAGCAACACAAAUUCAACUACAACACUUAAAUGCAAGAUAUCCACAGGAAAAAAAAACUAGGCUAUAGCCUUAGAAGCAAAUUGCUCAAAUUGCUUGUUUUUUGUUCGUGAUGUUGACCAUUCCUUUCCAAGCCCUGAAUGUAUGAAAUAUAGCUUACUUUCUUUUUUCAACAUUAAAAGAAAGUCCAUCAAUAUGUAUAUUUUAUGGAUCAACAAUCUCAAAUAAACAGAUGUAUGUUAUGCACCUCUACAUCACAACAUCUGGCUUUGGAAUAAAAUCUCUCUCUAUAGCAGCCAAGGCAAUAUGUAUAUAUGUAUACAUGAUGUUCAUAUACAAUAAGUAACAAGAAAAUAGUUAAGGACAUAGACACUGUAACAUAUAGCCAUGUCGUACAGAGAGGAGAGGAGGAAGAGGAGGAAGAGGAAGGUGAAGGAGGAGAGGAGGAGGAGGAGGAUGAGAGGGGGACGUGAAGGUGGGAGGAGGAGGAGGAGAGGGGGAUGUGAAGGUGGGAGGAGGAGGAAGAGGGGGACGUGAAGGUGGGAGGAGGAGGUUCUUAGGUAAUGGUAUAAAACUAUUCAGAACUGGGGUGGAAGGAGUUAGGAUAUAGCAUGUGUCUGACCUCCUCAGUAAGAGGAAAAGUUUCUGCUCAACCCAGUAGAGGCAGUAGUCUACUGAGGUCCUGUGUUAGUCCCACUGAGGCAGUAGUCUACUGAGGUCCUGUGUUAGUCCCACUGAGUCAGUAGUCUACUGAGGUCCUCUGUUAGUCCCACUGAGGCAGUAGUCUACUGAGGUCCUGUGUUAGUUCCACUGAGGCAGUAGUCUACUGAGGUCCUGUGUUAGUUCCACUGAGGCAGUAGUCUACUGAGGUCCUGUGUUAGUCCCACUGAGGCAGUAGUCUACUGAGGUCCUGUGUUAGUCCCACAGAGGCAGUAGUCUACUGAGGUCCUGUGUUAGUCCCACAGAGGCAGUAGUCUACUGAGGUCCUGUGUUAGUCCCACUGAGGCAGUAGUCUACUGAGGUCCUCUGUUAGUUCCACAGAGGCAGUAGUCUACUGAGGUCCUGUGUUAGUUCCACCGAGGCAGUAGUCUACUGAGGUCCUGUGUUAGUCCCACUGAGGCAGUAGUCUACUGAGGUCCUGUGUUAGUCCCACUGAGGCAGUAGUCUACUGAGGUCCUGUGUUAGUUCCACUGAGGCAGUAGUCUACUGAGGUCCUCUGUUAGUUCCACUGAGGCAGUAGUCUACUGAGGUCCUGUGUUAGUCCCACUGAGGCAGUAGUCUACUGAGGUCCUGUGUUAGUCCCACUGAGUCAGUAGUCUACUGAGGUCCUGUGUUAGUCCCACUGAGGCAGUAGUCUACUGAGUGUUAGUCCCACUGAGGCAGUAGUCUACUGAGGUCCUGUGUUAGUCCCACGGAGGCAGUAGUCUACUGAGGUCCUGUGUUAGUCCCACUGAGGCAGUAGUCUACUGAGGUCCUGUGUUAGUCCCACUGAGGCAGUAGUCUACUGAGGUCCUCUGUUAGUCCCACUGAGGCAGUAGUCUACUGAAGUCCUCUGUUAGUUCCACUGAGGCAGUAGUCUACUGAAGUCCUGUGUUAGUUCCACUGAGGCAGUAGUCUACUGAGGUCCUCUGUUAGUCCCACUGAGGCAGUAGUCUACUGAGGUCCUCUGUUAGUCCAGAUCUGUCAAGAAACCCAUCCGGAGUUCCUAAGUCUUUCAAUAAGUUGUUUUGUCCCUCUUUAAGUUACUAGCUCAAUCUGCAAUAGGUCCUGUUUUAUUGUGUUCAAACAGGCAAGAAACCCUGAUGAUGAGGUUGGUGAUGGUGAUGAUGAUGAUGAAGAUGAGACUAGUGAGUUGUUUAUUCUCCAGGGUGCUUCAGCAUUCUCCAGAGUGCUUCAGUAUUCUCCAGAGUGCUUCAGCAUUCUCCAGGGUGCUUCAGUAUUCUCCAGAGUGCUUCAGUAUUCUCCAGAGUGCUUCAGCAUUCUCCAGGGUGCUUCAGUAUUCUCCAGCGUGCUUCAGCAUUCUCCAGGGUGCUUCAGUAUUCUCCAGAGUGCUUCAGCAUUCUCCAGAGUGCUUCAGCAUUAUCCAUGGUGCUUCAGUAUUCUCCAGCGUGCUUCAGCAUUCUCCAGGGUGCUUCAGUAUUCUCCAGAGUGCUUCAGUAUUCUACAGGGUGCUUCAAUAUUCUCCAGAGUGCUUCAGCGUUCUCCAGGGUGCUUCAAUAUUCUCCAGAGUGCUUCAGCGUUCUCCAGGGUGCUUCAGCAUUCUCCAGAGUGCUUCACUAUUCUCCAUAGUGCUUCACUAUUCUCCAGAGUGCUUCACUAUUCUCCAGAGUGCUUCAGCAUUCUACAGGAUGCUUCACUAUUCUCCAGAGUGCUUCACUAUUCUCCAGAGUGCUUCAGCAUUCUCCAGGGUUCUUCAGUAUCCUACAGGGUUCUUCAGUAUCCUACAGAGUGCUUCAGUAUUCUACAGAGUGCUUCAGCAUUCUCCAGGGCGCUUCAGCAUUCUCCAUAGUGCUUCAGCAUUCUCCAGAGUGCUUCAGCGUUCUCCAGGGUGCUUCAGCAUUCUCCAUAGUACUUCAGCAUUCUCCAGGGUGCUUCAGUAUUCUACAGGGUGCUUCAAUAUUCUCCAGAGUGCUUCAGUAUUCUCCAGGGUGCUUCAGUAUUCUCCAGGGUGCUUCAGCAUUCUCCAGGGUUCUUCAGCAUUCUCCAGAGUGCUUCAGCAUUCUCCAGAGUGCUUCAGUAUUCUACAGGGUGCUUCAGUAUUCUACAAGGUGCUUCAGUAUUCUACAGAGUGCUUCAGGCUUCCAAUAGGAGGUCCAACAGUCCUUUCCUGAAAAGGUUAAUCAACCAACCAUCUCAUCUCCAUGUAGAUAGGUGACAGUAAUCACUAGGUGGCUUUGCUGCAGAAAGGUUAUUCUGUGUGUGUGUGUGCUUGUGUCUGCGUGUGUCUGUGGGUGAAGGCUGAAGAAAUGUUGCUUGGCCUCUACGACCCUCCCGAACUUCUACAGACGCACCACUGAGAGUAUCCUGUGAGGCUGAAUCACCGCCUGUUAUGACAACUGCACCGCCCGCAGCCACUUGAGCCACGUCCUGUUCACCCCGCUACCAUCUAGAAGGUAAUUAAGGACCUCAGCCACCAGAGCCACGUCCUGUUCACCCUGCUACCAUCUAGAAGGUCAUUAAGGACCUCAGCCACCUGAGCCACGACCUGUUCACCCAGCUACCAUCUAGAAGGUCAUCAAGGACAUCAGCCACCUGAGCCACGUCCUGUUCACCCCGCUACCAUCUAGAAGGUCAUCAAGGACCUUAGCCACCUGAGCCACGACCUGUUCACCCAGCUACCAUCUAGAAGGUCAUCAAGGACCUCGGCCACCUGAGCCACGACCUGUUCACCAAGCUACCAUCCAGAAGGUCAUUAAGGACCUCAGCCACCUGAGCCAUGGCCUGUUCACCCCGCUACCAUCUAGAAGGCGGAGACAGUACAGGUGCAUCAAAGCCGGCCUCCACCCAGUACCCUGCCCUGAACCGUAUUGACUGUUACUAGCCAGCUACGACUCAGUAGCCUGCCCUGAACGUUAGUGACUGUUACUAGCCAGCUACCACUUAGUACCCUGCCCUGAACCUUAGUCACUGUUACUAGUCAGCUACCACUCAGUACCCUGCCCCGAACCAUAGUCAUUGUCACUAGCCAGCUCCCACUCAGUACCCUGGCCUGAACCUUAAUGACUGUUACUAGCCGGACUCCACACAGUACCUUGCCCUGAACCUUAGUGACUGUUACUAGCCAGCUACCAAUCGGUACCCUGCCCUGAACCUUAGUGACUGUUACUAGCCGGCCUCCACCCAGUACCCUGCCCUGAACCUUAGUGACUGUUACUAGCCAGCUACCACUUAGUACCCUGCCCUGAACCUUAGUGACUGUUACUAGCAAGCUACCAAGCAGUACCCUGCCCUGAACCUUAGUGACUGUUACUAGCCAGCUACCACUUAGUACCCUGCCCUGAACCCUAGUCACUGUUACUAGCCAGCUACCACUCAGUACCCUGCCCUGAACCUUAGUGACUGUUACUAGCCGGACUCCACUCAGUACCCUGCCCUGAACCUUAGUGACUGUUACUAGCCUCCCCAGUACCCUGCCCUGAACCUUAGUGACUGUUACUAGCCUCCCCAGUACCCUGCCCUGAACCUUAGUGACUGUUGCUAGCCUCCCCCAGUACCCUGCCCUGAACCUUAGUGACUGUUACUAGCCUCCCC